Molecule: long non-coding RNA, 1141 nt
Organism: Harpia harpyja (harpy eagle)
Lineage: Eukaryota; Metazoa; Chordata; Aves; Accipitriformes; Accipitridae
Exons: 7
Source: RefSeq, a predicted model, not a curated record
CGGCAGGAAGCGGAGCCGUGGCCGAGGCCCGACGCCGUCUCCAUGGCGACCGGCGGCGCUCCGGAGCUGCGAGACUGCCGCCGGCCUCUGAAAUGUUUCCCUCCCUAUGCAAAAAUAGCUGUUAAAAAAUAUUGAAGGGAAGAAAAGCUCUAGACAACUUCUAUUUGUCCUAAAAUUCACUUGCAAUCAGCAAUGGUAUCAAGAAGGUCAAGACUUCGAGAUUGUUCUACACAUCAAACAAAAUCAAUUCAGAGCUGUGGUGGAGUAUCAGACAUAUAGACAGCUACAAAUCAAGCAGUACAGACAAUUUCUGUCUUAUAUCACCAUGCAAGAGAAACAGAGCUGAAAGUGUUCCCACAGGUCAACUAAGCUGCUGGAGGAGUGCUCUGAAAAGCUCAAUCUGAACAUGGCUGCACAAUGAGUGUUCUUGGCAGACGGCACUGAAGCACUAGAACCUAAAGACAUACCCCAUGAUGCCGACGUUUAUAUUUCAACUGGAGAGACCUUUUUAUAUCCAUUCAAAAAAAUAAAAGACCAUCUGUCAUUAAUGAAGAAAGUAUCAUCUUGAACAGUGAACGGCCUGGUUCUUCAUAAUGGUGUCAAGCAAAAGAAAACCAAGCCUGUCAUUUCCAACUGCAUGUAGAAAAUUAUUGAGGAGGACACCUCUGGCAGAAUUUUAGUGUUUAAGAACUGCACAGGGCAGGAUAACUAUGAGCCUAUUGGAUCACAAAAUCAAAUUGAAAAGGACUUCUGCAGCUCCCUGGACAGCACAAAGGUUUUGUUCCAUCAUUCAGUGAACCACAUAGAGAAGAUGACAUACACCAAAAAUAAACCAGUUAAAAUCAUCAAUUUUAGUCUGGAAUAGUUUCUAGAAUCUGAUUCACUGCACACUCACCUAAAUACUUUUGCCAGCACAAGAAAAAAUGUUGCAUGGGAGUGGAAAGAAACAAUUCCAUGAACAAUGAAUUUCUCCUGGUCAAAGUAUUGCCAUUUCUGUCACCAAAAAGUAACUUGUGUGCUAUCUAUCUUGGACUUUCUUCGAAAGAAUGACAGGUUUCAGGUGAUUGCACACUGAGGAUGAAUCUUACUUCUCCAGUGAAAUACUAAUACAAUGUAUGUGGAGAAAAAAUUGGCAAUAUCA